AUGGGAACCAUCCGGGAUCCUCGUAGGCUGGGGAUGGCUGGGCUGGGACCUAGGCAGAGCACGGAGCUCCCCCCACCAGUGCCGAUGCCAGAACAUUUGUCGCCUGGGCUAAGUGAGCACAAGUGGAUGGUAACUGCAGAUCAUCCUGCUGCAAGCUGGCCUGUGGUGAUAGCUAUUACUGGUACCCACACAGACGUGUGCUCUUCCGCUCUUGUAUUAGAACACCUCUUCGUAGGGGUUAGGGUUGAACAGUGCCGCAAUAAAUCAGGACCUGAAGAAAUCAUUGAACUGACUCUUCAAAAAAGAAUUGUUCGUGCAUAUAAGGCCAAGGUUUUUCAAGGUGACAAGAGUAAUGACAAAAAUUGCCAUGCUGUGUAAUGGUUGAGUGGGAGUUGGGGUGAGUUAUCUAGGAGACAACCAAUAAACAUCUGUUCUUAUUUUUCCA
RNAcentral lists this long non-coding RNA (445 nucleotides) under Anser cygnoides (Swan goose). RNAcentral describes it as "lncRNA (ENSACDG00005015895.1)". Lineage: Eukaryota; Metazoa; Chordata; Aves; Anseriformes; Anatidae. The record is from RNAcentral.